GCCAUACCAUGCUGAAUAUACCGGUUCUCGUUAGAUCACCGAAGUCAAGCAUCAUUGGGCACGGUCAGUACUUAAGUGGGUGACCUCCUGGGAACACCGCGUGCCGUUG
Molecule: ribosomal RNA, 109 nt
Filed under: Caerostris darwini
Lineage: Eukaryota; Metazoa; Arthropoda; Arachnida; Araneae; Araneidae
Source: RNAcentral